Molecule: ribosomal RNA, 497 nt
Filed under: uncultured bacterium
Lineage: Bacteria
Description: partial 16S ribosomal RNA
Rfam family: Bacterial small subunit ribosomal RNA
Source: RNAcentral
GAUGAACGCUGGCGGCGUGCCUAAUACAUGCAAGUCGAGCGAACAGACGAGGAGCUUGCUCCUCUGACGUUAGCGGCGGACGGGUGAGUAACACGUGGAUAACCUACCUAUAAGACUGGGAUAACUUCGGGAAACCGGAGCUAAUACCGGAUAAUAUAUUGAACCGCAUGGAUCAAUAGUGAAAGACGGUUUUGCUGUCACUUAUAGAUGGAUUCGCGCCGCAUUAGCUAGUUGGUAAGGUAACGGCUUACCAAGGCAACGAUGCGUAGCCGACCUGAGAGGGUGAUCGGCCACACUGGAACUGAGACACGGUCCAGACUCCUACGGGAGGCAGCAGUAGGGAAUAUUCCGCAAUGGGCGAAAGCCUGACGGAGCAACGCCGCGUGAGUGAUGAAGGUCUUCGGAUCGUAAAACUCUGUUAUUGGGAAAGAACAAAUGUGUAAGUAACUAUGCACGUCUUGACGGUACCUAAUCAGAAAGCCACGGCUAACUACGUG